This is an RNA transcript of Otolemur garnettii (small-eared galago), 612 nucleotides long. It is a transcript of the gene named S-phase kinase-associated protein 1 pseudogene, with no coding region annotated. NCBI's taxonomy places the organism in Eukaryota, Metazoa, Chordata, Mammalia, Primates, Galagidae. The transcript has a single exon. The record is from RefSeq and is a predicted model, not a curated record.
GGCCUUGUCCUCUGCUUCUCGACUUAUUGUGUAGAAGCUCCUUAGCUCUCUUCAGCCUCUGGCCAUCUUUUGAAACCAAACACCAUGCCUUCUAUUAAGUUGCAGAGUUCUGAUGGAGAGAUAUUUGAAGUUGAUGUGGAAAUUGCCAAACAGUCUGUGACUAUCAAGACGAUGUUGGAAGAUUUGGGAAUGGAAGACGAAGCAGAUGAUGACCCAGUUCCUCUACCAAAUGUUAAUGCAGCAAUAUUAAAAAAGGUCAUUCAGUGGUGCACCCACCACAAGGAUGACCCUCCUCCUCCUGAGGAUGAUGAGAACAAAGGAAAGCAAACAGACGAAAUCUCUCUUAGGGACCAAGAAUUCCUGAAAGUUGACCAAGGAACACUUUUUGAACUUAUUCUGGCUGCAAACUACUUAGACAUCAAAGGCUUGCUUGAUGUUACAUGUAAGACUUUUGCCAAUAUGAUCAAGGGGAAAACUCCUGAAGAGAUUCACAAGACCUUCAAUAUCAAAAAUGACUUUACUGAAGAGGAGGAAGCCCAGGUACGCAAAGUGAACCAGUGGUGUGAAGAGAAGUGAAAUGUAGUACGUGACACUGUUACACUGUAAGGAUUA